GAUGAACGCUGGCGGCGUGCCUAAUACAUGCAAGUCGAGCGAACGGACGAGAAGCUUGCUUUUCUGAUGUUAGCGGCGGACGGGUGAGUAACACGUGGAUAACCUACCUAUAAGACUGGGUUAACUUCGGGAAACCGGAGCUAAUACCGGAUAAUAUUUUGAACCGCAUUGUUCAAAAGUGAAAGACGGUCUUGCUGUCACUUAUAGAUGGAUCCGCGCUGCAUUAGCUAGUUGGUAAGGUAACGGCUUACCAAGGCAACGAUGCAUAGCCGACCUGAGAGGGUGAUCGGCCACACUGGAACUGAGACACGGUCCAGGCUCCUACGGGAGGCAGCAGUAGGGAAUCUUCCGCAAAGGGCGAAAGCCUGACGGAGCAACGCCGCGUGAGUGAUGAAGGUCUUCGGAUCGUAAAACUCUGUUAUUAGGGAAGAACAUAUGUGUAAGUAACUGUGCACAUCUUGACGGUACCUAAUCAGAAAGCCACGGCUAACUACGUG
RNAcentral lists this ribosomal RNA (497 nucleotides) under uncultured bacterium. RNAcentral describes it as "partial 16S ribosomal RNA". It matches the Rfam family "Bacterial small subunit ribosomal RNA", at positions 28 to 507 of the family's 1533-position model. The record is from RNAcentral.